UGGUGGGAUACUACCCUGGCUGUAUGACCAUUCUAACCCGCCACGCUUAGCGCGUGGGGAGACAGUGUCAGGUGGGCAGUUUGACUGGGGCGGUCGCCUCCUAAAGAGGAACGGAGGCGCCCAAAGGUUCCCUCAGAAUGGAUGGAAAUCAUUCGCAGAGGGUAAAGGCACAAGGGAGCUUGACUGCGAGACUGACAAGUCGAGCAGGGACGAAAGCCGGGCUUAGUGGUCCGGUG
This 236-nucleotide ribosomal RNA is filed under the name Listeria monocytogenes. Its description in RNAcentral is "partial 23S ribosomal RNA". It matches the Rfam family "Bacterial large subunit ribosomal RNA", at positions 2190 to 2425 of the family's 2925-position model. Lineage: Bacteria; Bacillati; Bacillota; Bacilli; Caryophanales; Listeriaceae. The record is from RNAcentral.